RNAcentral lists this unclassified non-coding RNA (200 nucleotides) under soil metagenome. RNAcentral's name for it is "partial contains internal transcribed spacer 2 and large subunit ribosomal RNA". The record is from RNAcentral.
CUGUUUGAGUGUCAUGAACUCUCUCUAAUCAGGAUUUCUGAUUAGAGGAUUUGGGUGUUGCCUUCCGGCUCGCCUUAAAUGCAUUAGCGUGGUGUAUCAGUUUCGCCAGCAGCUACAAUGUUGUUCUCUUACGACACGGGAAAGGGAAACCGAGUACCAUCUCAGACCUCAAAUCAGGUAGGACUACCCGCUGAACUUAA